This 259-nucleotide ribosomal RNA is filed under the name uncultured Staphylococcus sp. Its description in RNAcentral is "partial 16S ribosomal RNA". It matches the Rfam family "Bacterial small subunit ribosomal RNA", at positions 103 to 354 of the family's 1533-position model. Lineage: Bacteria; Bacillati; Bacillota; Bacilli; Caryophanales; Staphylococcaceae. The record is from RNAcentral.
CGGGUGAGUAACACGUGGAUAACCUACCUAUAAGACUGGGAUAACUUCGGGAAACCGGAGCUAAUACCGGAUAAUAUAUUGAACCGCAUGGUUCAAUAGUGAAAGACGGUUUUGCUGUCACUUAUAGAUGGAUCCGCGCCGCAUUAGCUAGUUGGUAAGGUAACGGCUUACCAAGGCAGCGAUGCGUAGCCGACCUGAGAGGGUGAUCGGCCACACUGGAACUGAGACACGGUCCAGACUCCUACGGGAGGCAGCAGAC